RNAcentral lists this ribosomal RNA (531 nucleotides) under uncultured bacterium. RNAcentral's name for it is "partial 16S ribosomal RNA". It matches the Rfam family "Bacterial small subunit ribosomal RNA", at positions 28 to 523 of the family's 1533-position model. The record is from RNAcentral.
GACGAACGCUGGCGGCGUGCCUAAUACAUGCAAGUCGAACGCACUGACGUCGACAGAAGGUGCUUGCACUGGAAGUUGAUUGACGUGAGUGGCGGACGGGUGAGUAACACGUGAGUAACCUGCCCUUAAGCGGGGGAUAACAUUUGGAAACAGAUGCUAAUACCGCAUAAAAGUUGAGAUCACAUGGUCUUAAUUUGAAAGACGGCCUUUGGCUGUCACUUAAGGAUGGACCCGCGGCGUAUUAGCUAGUUGGUGAGAUAAUAGCCCACCAAGGCGAUGAUACGGAGCCGACCUGAGAGGGUAAUCGGCCACAUUGGGACUGAGACACGGCCCAAACUCCGACGGGAGGCAGCAGUAGGGAAUCUUCCACAAUGGACGAAAGUCUGAUGGAGCAACGCCGCGUGAGUGAAGAAGGUUUUCGGAUCGUAAAACUCUGUUAUUGGAGAAGAACAGGGACUAGAGUAACUGUUAGUCCUUUGACGGUAUCCAACCAGAAAGCCACGGCUAACUACGUGCCAGCCGCCGCUGUAA